GAUGAACGCUGGCGGCGUGCCUAACACAUGCGAGUCGAGCGGUAUAUACUGGAAUGAGAUUUCGGUCAAGUGAAGGUAUAGAGAGCGGCGGACGGGUGAGUAACGCGUGGGCAACCUGCCUCAUACAGAGGAAUAGCCUCGGGAAACCGGGAUUAAAACCUCAUAACGCCAUUGAGUCACAUGGUUCGAUGGCCAAAGAUUUAUCGGUAUGAGAUGGGCCUGCGUCUGAUUAGCUGGUUGGUGGGGUAACGGCAUACCAAGGCGACGAUCAGUAGCCGACCUGAGAGGGUAAGCGGCCACAUUGGAACGGAGACACGGUCCAAACUCCGACGGGAGGCAGCAGUGGGGAAUAUUGCACAAUGGGCGAAAGCUUGAUGCAGCAACGCCGCGUGAGCGAUGAAGGCCUUUGGGUCGUAAAGCUCUGUCCUAGGGGAAGAUAAUGACGGUACCCUGGGAGGAAGCCCCGGCUAACUACGUGCCAGCCGCCGCCGUAA
RNAcentral lists this ribosomal RNA (494 nucleotides) under uncultured bacterium. RNAcentral describes it as "partial 16S ribosomal RNA". It matches the Rfam family "Bacterial small subunit ribosomal RNA", at positions 28 to 523 of the family's 1533-position model. The record is from RNAcentral.